GAUAACCAGCGUCAGGUCCCUGUUUGUUUCUUGUCAGGUCAUAUUUGCUAGAGCACUGACCUCAGAAUGCCUAUCAGGAGAGUCGCCAGGGUGAGAGAGGACAGGGACAGGGAAUAGCCAAUGACAGAGAUGAGCCUGAGGGCUGUCUGCCGAAGCAUUUCUUCCUCCUGGACACACACAAGGAAAUAUGGAGAGAAUAACAAAAACGUCUUUAGCAUUUUCAGCUAUAACACUUGGAGGCUCUGAGGAAUUCUCCCUCCGUCUCCAUCUACCAUUCUCCAAACACUCUCGGUGUGCCCUCCUUGAGGUGUCUGCAGAAAGAAACUCCAGACCACAGCUGCCCCUCUCUUUAUAAAUCAGUGUCAGGACCGGGGGCAAUUGUUUAUAUAAACUCUCCCAAUCUUCAAAUCUGUGUCCGUUUUGCACAUCCACCACCUGUGUCCCAAAGAUUUCCCAAAGAGCAUUCUUUAAUUCGGUGAGGCUCGUCUUGUCAGGACUAUGUCUAAAGCGUCACCCCACAUGUCUUCUGUGUUGUCUGUUAGAGACUAAACCUGCUUCAAAUCCGGUAGCAGACUCUUAAUAAUUAAUUAGCUAUAUAACCGUGGAGAUAAAAGUGAAGUGCUCUGUGAUUUAAUUGUCCUAUUAAUUAUGUUUCUUUGCUACAUUCUUUUUCCCUUGAGAAAAAAAACCCUCUAAUUGGAUUUCCAAAGCGUAGCUGUUCUCCAAGCUUGUCACUAAACUGCCACUUUCAGACAAUGACUUCAGAAGGUGAAACUAUACGAUAUGCAUGUGAGCGAAGGGACCCUCUGUAACCUGAACCAAUUAUGUGACAGGUCUAAUAAAAAGAAUCUGCCACUUGCUGGUAUUUAAAAUGUA
Molecule: long non-coding RNA, 876 nt
Organism: Eleginops maclovinus (Patagonian blennie)
Lineage: Eukaryota; Metazoa; Chordata; Actinopteri; Perciformes; Eleginopidae
Exons: 4
Source: RefSeq, a predicted model, not a curated record